Molecule: ribosomal RNA, 1313 nt
Filed under: uncultured Alphaproteobacteria bacterium
Lineage: Bacteria; Pseudomonadati; Pseudomonadota; Alphaproteobacteria
Description: uncultured alpha proteobacterium 16S ribosomal RNA
Rfam family: Bacterial small subunit ribosomal RNA
Source: RNAcentral
ACGCUGGCGGCACGCCUAACACAUGCAAGUCGAACGAAGUAGCAAUACUUAGUGGCAGACGGGUGAGUAACAUGUAGGUAUCUGCCCUUUGGCCUGGAAUAACACGAGGAAACUUGUGCUAAUACCGGAUAAGUCUUUACGGAGAAAGCUUUAUGCACCAUUGGAUGAGCCUGCACUUGAUUAGUUUGUUGGUGGGGUAAUGGCCUACCAAGACUGUGAUCAAUAGCUGAUUUGAGAGGAUGAUCAGCCACAUUGGGACUGAGACACGGCCCAAACUCCUACGGGAGGCAGCAGUGGGGAAUCUUGCACAAUGGAGGAAACUCUGAUGCAGCGAUGCCGCGUGAGUGAAGAAGGCCCUUGGGUUGUAAAGCUCUUUCGUCGGGGAAGAAAAUGACUGUACCCGAAUAAGAAGGUCCGGCUAACUUCGUGCCAGCAGCCGCGGUAAUACGAAGGGACCUAGCGUAGUUCGGAAUUACUGGGCUUAAAGAGUUCGUAGGUGGUUGAAAAAGUUAGUGGUGAAAUCCCAGAGCUUAACUCUGGAACUGCCAUUAAAACUUUUUAGCUAGAGUAUGAUAGAGGAAAGCAGAAUUUCUAGUGUAGAGGUGAAAUUCGUAGAUAUUAGAAAGAAUACCAAUUGCGAAGGCAGCUUUCUGGAUCAUUACUGACACUGAGGAACGAAAGCAUGGGUAGCGAAGAGGAUUAGAUACCCUCGUAGUCCAUGCCGUAAACGAUGUGUGUUAGACGUUGGAAAUUUAUUUUCAGUGUCGCAGGGAAACCGAUAAACACACCGCCUGGGGAGUACGACCGCAAGGUUAAAACUCAAAUGAAUUGACGGGGACCCGCACAAGUAGUGGAGCAUGUGGUUUAAUUCGAAGAUACGCGCAGAACCUUACCAACACUUGACAUGUUCGUCGCGACUCUAAGAGAUUAGAGUUUUCGGUUCGGCCGGACGAAACACAGGUGCUGCAUGGCUGUCGUCAGCUCGUGUCGUGAGAUGUUGGGUUAAGUCCCGCAACGAGCGCAACCCUCACUUUUAGUUGCCAUCAUUAAGUUGGGCACUCUGAAAGAACUGCCAGUGAUAAGCUGGAGGAAGGUGGGGAUGACGUCAAGUCCUCAUGGCCCUUACGUGUUGGGCUACACACGUGCUACAAUGGUAUCUACAACAGGAAGCAAGACUGCGAAGUUAAGCAAAUCCCUAAAAGAUACCUCAGUUCGGAUUGCACUCUGCAACUCGAGUGCAUGAAGCUGGAAUUACUAGUAAUCGUGGAUCAGCGUGCCACGGUGAAUGCGUUCCCGGGUCUUGUACACACCGC